Molecule: ribosomal RNA, 460 nt
Filed under: uncultured bacterium
Lineage: Bacteria
Description: partial 16S ribosomal RNA
Rfam family: Bacterial small subunit ribosomal RNA
Source: RNAcentral
CCGACGGGUGGCAGCAGGGAGGAAGAGGGGGCAAGGGACGCAAGUCUGAACCAGCCAUGCCGCGUGCAGGAAGACGGCGCUAUGAGUUGUAAACUGCUUUUGUACGAGGGUAAAUCCCGAUACGUGUAUCGGGUUGAAAGUAUCGUACGAAUAAGGAUCGGCUAACUCCGUGCCAGCAGCCGCGGUAAUACGGAGGAUUCAAGCGUUAUCCGGAUUUAUUGGGUUUAAAGGGUGCGUAGGCGGUUCGAUAAGUUAGAGGUGAAAUCCCGGGGCUCAACUACGGCAUUGCCUGUGAUACUGUCGGGCUAGAGUGUAGUUGCGGUAGGCGGAAUGUAUGGUGUAGCGGUGAAAUGCAUAGAGAUCAUACAGAACACCGAUUGCGAAGGCAGCUUACCAAACUACGACUGACGUUGAGGCACGAAAGCGUGGGGAGCAAACAGGAUUAGAUACCCCUGUAGUC